GUGUAGAAUCCAUCAUUGUGUAUAAUGUUGCAGAAAUGAGGGGAGCCAGGCUUGCUAAAGUCAUUGUGGUGAUAGAAAUGUGUUAGCCUCAGAAGCUACUGAGGUGGUCCUUUCUAUCCUACUAUAGUG
Molecule: non-coding RNA, 129 nt
Organism: Erinaceus europaeus (western European hedgehog)
Lineage: Eukaryota; Metazoa; Chordata; Mammalia; Eulipotyphla; Erinaceidae
Source: Rfam